Molecule: ribosomal RNA, 517 nt
Filed under: Salmonella enterica subsp. enterica serovar Enteritidis
Lineage: Bacteria; Pseudomonadati; Pseudomonadota; Gammaproteobacteria; Enterobacterales; Enterobacteriaceae
Description: partial 23S ribosomal RNA
Rfam family: Bacterial large subunit ribosomal RNA
Source: RNAcentral
GUUGCAGGGUAUAGACCCGAAACCCGGUGAUCUAGCCAUGGGCAGGUUGAAGGUUGGGUAACACUAACUGGAGGACCGAACCGACUAAUGUUGAAAAAUUAGCGGAUGACCUGUGGCUGGGGGUGAAAGGCCAAUCAAACCGGGAGAUAGCUGGUUCUCCCCGAAAGCUAUUUAGGUAGCGCCUCGUGAAUUCAUCUCCGGGGGUAGAGCACUGUUUCGGCUAGGGGGCCAUCCCGGCUUACCAACCCGAUGCAAACUGCGAAUACCGGAGAAUGUUAUCACGGGAGACACACGGCGGGUGCUAACGUCCGUCGUGAAGAGGGAAACAACCCAGACCGCCAGCUAAGGUCCCAAAGUCAUGGUUAAGUGGGAAACGAUGUGGGAAGGCCCAGACAGCCAGGAUGUUGGCUUAGAAGCAGCCAUCAUUUAAAGAAAGCGUAAUAGCUCACUGGUCGAGUCGGCCUGCGCGGAAGAUGUAACGGGGCUAAACCAUGCACCGAAGCUGCGGCAGCGACAC